GAAUAUUGGACAAUGGGCAAAAGCCUGACGCAGCGACGCCGCGUGUGGGAUGACGGCCUUCGGGUUGUAAACCACUGUCGGGGGGGACGAAACAAAUGACGGUACCCCCAAAGGAAGCACCGGCUAACUCUGUGCCAGCAGCCGCGGUAAUACAGAGGGUGCGAGCGUUGUUCGGAAUUACUGGGCGUAAAGGGCGCGUAGGCGGUUCGGUAAGUAGGGGGUGAAAUUCCACGGCUCAACCGUGGGACGGCCUUCUAGACUGCCGGACUUGAGCACGGUAGAGGCAGAUGGAAUUCCCGGUGUAGCGGUGGAAUGCGUAGAGAUCGGGAAGAACACCAGUGGCGAAGGCGGUCUGCUGGGCCGUUGCUGACGCUGAGGCGCGACAGCGUGGGGAGCAAACAGG
Molecule: ribosomal RNA, 403 nt
Filed under: uncultured bacterium
Lineage: Bacteria
Description: bacterial SSU rRNA
Rfam family: Bacterial small subunit ribosomal RNA
Source: RNAcentral